This 440-nucleotide ribosomal RNA is filed under the name uncultured bacterium. RNAcentral describes it as "partial 16S ribosomal RNA". It matches the Rfam family "Bacterial small subunit ribosomal RNA", at positions 338 to 795 of the family's 1533-position model. The record is from RNAcentral.
CCUACGGGUGGCAGCAGUAGGGAAUAUUGCUCAAUGGGGGAAACCCUGAAGCAGCAACGCCGCGUGGAGGAUGAAGGUUUUAGGAUUGUAAACCCCUUUUGUUAGAGAAGAUUAUGACGGUAUCUAACGAAUAAGCACCGGCUAACUCCGUGCCAGCAGCCGCGGUAAUACGGCGGGUGCAAGCGUUAAUCGGAAUCACUGGGCGUAAAGAGUGCGUAGGCGGGGUAAUAAGUCAGAUGUGAAAUCCUGUAGCUUAACUACAGAACUGCAUUUGAAACUGUUACUCUGGAGUGUGGGAGAGGUAGGUGGAAUUCUUGGUGUAGGGGUAAAAUGCGUAGAGAUCAAGAGGAAUACUCAUUGCGAAGGCGACCUGCUGGAACGUUACUGACGCUGAUGCGCGAAAGCGUGGGGAGCAAACAGGAUUAGAUACCCUGGUAGUC